This 507-nucleotide ribosomal RNA is filed under the name uncultured bacterium. Its description in RNAcentral is "partial 16S ribosomal RNA". It matches the Rfam family "Bacterial small subunit ribosomal RNA", at positions 28 to 507 of the family's 1533-position model. The record is from RNAcentral.
GACGAACGCUGGCGGCGUGCCUAAUACAUGCAAGUCGAACGCAUUUUCUUUCACCGUAGCUUGCUACACCGAAAGAAAAUGAGUGGCGAACGGGUGAGUAACACGUGGGUAACCUGCCCAUCAGCGGGGGAUAACACUUGGAAACAGGUGCUAAUACCGCAUAAUUCCAUUUACUGCAUGGUAGAUGGAUGAAAGGCGCUUUUGCGUCACUGAUGGAUGGACCCGCGGUGCAUUAGCUAGUUGGUGGGGUAACGGCCUACCAAGGCUGCGAUGCAUAGCCGACCUGGGAGGGUGAUCGGCCACACUGGGACUGGGACACGGCCCAGACUCCUACGGGAGGCAGCAGCAGGGAAUCUUCGGCAAUGGACGCAAGUCUGACCGAGCAACGCCGCGGGAGUGAAGAAGGUUUUCGGAUCGUAAAACUCUGUUGUUAGAAAAGAACAAGGAUGAGAGUGGAAAGUUCAUCCCUUGACGGUAUCUAACCAGAAAGCCACGGCUAACUACGUG